RNAcentral lists this transfer RNA (86 nucleotides) under Neorhizobium galegae. RNAcentral describes it as "tRNA-Leu". It matches the Rfam family "tRNA". From Rfam's summary of the family: Transfer RNA (tRNA) molecules are approximately 80 nucleotides in length. Their secondary structure includes four short double-helical elements and three loops (D, anti-codon, and T loops). RNAcentral also lists the same sequence under 11 other names. The record is from RNAcentral. Lineage: Bacteria; Pseudomonadati; Pseudomonadota; Alphaproteobacteria; Hyphomicrobiales; Rhizobiaceae.
GCGGACGUGGCGAAACUGGUAGACGCAAGAGACUUAAAAUCUCUCGGCCUUUGGUCAUGCGGGUUCGAUCCCCGCCGUCCGCACCA